This 497-nucleotide ribosomal RNA is filed under the name uncultured bacterium. RNAcentral's name for it is "partial 16S ribosomal RNA". It matches the Rfam family "Bacterial small subunit ribosomal RNA", at positions 28 to 507 of the family's 1533-position model. The record is from RNAcentral.
GAUGAACGCUGGCGGCGUGCCUAAUACAUGCAAGUCGAGCGAACAGACGAGGAGCUUGCUCCUCUGACGUUAGCGGCGGACGGGUGAGAAACACGUGGAUAACCUACCUAUAAUACUGGGAUAACUUCGGGAAACCGGAGCAAAUACCGGAGAAUAUACUGAACCGUAUGGGUCAAUAGUGAAAGACGGCUUUUGUGUCACGUAUAGCGGCAUCCGGGCCUCAUUGGCUAGUUGGUCGGGUAACGGCUUACCAGGGCAACGAGGCGUAGACGAACGGCGAGGGGGGUCGGCGACAUGGGAGGGGGACCGCGGACAAGACUCCUACGAGAGGCACCAGAAGGGAAUCUUCCGCAGUGGGGGAGAGCCUGACGCAGCAGGCCGGCGUGAGUGAUAAAGGCCUUCGGAUCGUAAUACUCGGUUAUGGGGGAAGAACAAAUUUGGACGUAACUAUGCACGUCUUGACGGUACCUAAUAAGAAAGCACCGGCUAACUACGUG